GGACACUGGCUGCCCGGUCCCGGAUCCCCAAGGGCGACGUUUCUAUUUGGGAUCCACAACAGGUGCCUGAGAAACAAAGCCGCAGAUCGCUCCACCGCUGUGCGCAGCCCCCUGCUGAGGGGCCAGCGGCUCUCCCUGGGACCCCAGAACCUUAACACAAUUCUGAGGUGGAAGAAAUGGGGAACACCAGGCCUGGCCUCAUGGAGACCGGGGAGUCAGAACCUGAGCUCUGGCUCCUGGAGCUGCUGCGAGUGAGUGGUGGAAACCUGCCCCCUUAGAGAAGCUGCAGCUGAUCAGCAUCAUGCAAGGGACUGCUGAGAUGGUAGCAUGCUGGUAAUGAAGUGUUAUGGAGCCACUCCAUCCUUUAUUCAUCCUUUUCCUCAUACACACAGAGAGCAAAGGUGUAUAAACCAUCUUGUUCAUUGUCCCCUUUCACACAGGAGUUGUUUUGGGGAACAUAAUAGUCACGCCAUUUACACAUAUUUCUUAUAACAUUUUAUGAGCCAUGAUAUUCUACUUAAAAGCACAAAAAUAACAAUAUCCCUAUUUCUUCUGACUUCCAAUUGUCUGUAAGUAAUAAUUGUUCCCACUGCAUUUAUGAAGUAAAUUCACUCAUUCUUUCACAGUGCCCAUCACAGGGCAGUUAGAAUCCUGUGCUACAGCUGUGCAGCCCACACCCCUCUCCUCCUUAGUCAUCAUGUACACUUAGGAUCUGUGUGAAUUCCAAUCCCCUGACCUUCCUCCCCUUCACAGCUGCCCUCCUGACCCUGAAAUAUUGCUUGGGUGUUUUUUCUCCUCCCUUUCUCAACCGGGGAUUUCCAAGCCAGCCUAAUAGCUUCCUCCAACAAUAAUAAAGCAAAGAAGAAUUUUUAAAAA
Molecule: long non-coding RNA, 876 nt
Filed under: Homo sapiens (human)
Lineage: Eukaryota; Metazoa; Chordata; Mammalia; Primates; Hominidae
Description: DST antisense RNA 1
Source: RNAcentral